GGAAUCUUCCACAAUGGGCGCAAGCCUGAUGGAGCAACACCGCGUGAGUGAAGAAGGCUUUCGGAUCGUAAAACUCUGUUGUUGGAGAAGAACACGUUUGAGAGUAACUGUUCAGACGUUGACGGUAUCCAACCAGAAAGCCACUGCUAACUACGUGCCAGCAGCCGCGGUCAUACGUAGGUGGCAAGCGUUAUCCGGAUUUAUUGGGCGUAAAGCGAGCGCAGGCGGUUUCUUAAGUCUGAUGUGAAAGCCUUCGGCUUAACCAAAGAAGUGCAUCGGAAACUGUCAGACUUGAGUGCAGAAGAGGACAGUGGAACUCCAUGUGUAGCGGUGGAAUGCGUAGAUAUAUGGAAGAACACCAGUGGCGAAGGCGACUGUCUGGUCUGCAACUGACGCUGAGGCUCGAAAGCAUGGGUAGCGAACA
RNAcentral lists this ribosomal RNA (424 nucleotides) under uncultured Lactobacillus sp. Its description in RNAcentral is "bacterial SSU rRNA". It matches the Rfam family "Bacterial small subunit ribosomal RNA", at positions 358 to 774 of the family's 1533-position model. Lineage: Bacteria; Bacillati; Bacillota; Bacilli; Lactobacillales; Lactobacillaceae. The record is from RNAcentral.